RNAcentral lists this ribosomal RNA (446 nucleotides) under uncultured bacterium. Its description in RNAcentral is "bacterial SSU rRNA". It matches the Rfam family "Bacterial small subunit ribosomal RNA", at positions 330 to 792 of the family's 1533-position model. The record is from RNAcentral.
UCCAGACUCCUACGGGAGGCAGCAGUGGGGAAUAUUGCACAAUGGGGGAAACCCUGAUGCAGCGACGCCGCGUGGGCGACGAAGCGCUCCGGCGCGUAAAGCCCUGUCAGCAGGGAAGAACAAAGACAGUACCUGACCAAGAAGCCCCGGCUAACUACGUGCCAGCAGCCGCGGUAAUACGUAGGGGGCAAGCGUUAUCCGGAUUCACUGGGCGUAAAGGGAGCGCAGGCGGCACGGCAAGUCUGGUGUGAAAUACCGGGGCUCAACCCCGGGGCUGCAUUGGAAACUGGCAGGCUGGAGUGCCGGAGAGGCAGGCGGAAUUCCUAGUGUAGCGGUGAAAUGCGUAGAUAUUAGGAGGAACACCAGUGGCGAAGGCGGCCUGCUGGACGGUGACUGACGCUGAGGCUCGAAAGCGUGGGGAGCGAACAGGAUUAGAUACCCGGGUA